AUUUCUAAUAAUUUGUCUAAAUAUAUUGACUCCUUCCUUCAACCAGUGGUAAUGAAAACUAAAUCCUUUCUGGAGGACACAACGGAUGUCCUGAGGAUGUUAAAGGAUCUGACAUUGAAGGAGGGAUACUAUUUGGUAACCUUUGAUGUCACCUCCCUGUAUACAUGUAUACCUAAUGACAAGGGCUGUAUGGCUGUCAGAUACCUUUUAGAAAAAGAUCAAACAUUAAACUAAAGCUAAAGUAAAGCCUUUAUUGUUGGGAAGGACACUGUGGUGGUAGUAGGGAGAAAGCAAGGGGUAACCCCUAAUAGAUUAUCAAUAUUGGGUAAAAAAAAUGAUAGAAAACAAAGUAAAAUAAAAAACAAAAAUAAGCACUACCAGCAGGUGUCACCAGAGAGAUAGAUAGAUAGUAGUAUAUUGAGUCAAACUAUUGAAUGUGAUUGUUAAAACUUGACUUUUAAUGUUGCAAUUUAAAAGUGAAAAAGAUGUGUAGAGAAAUAAAGCAAAUUGAAGACAAACAAACGGAGAUAGAGCCAAUUGGUAGGUACACUGAGAGGAGAGGGGGUAACCACAAAAGUAAAUGUAAGAAAGCAAGGAUAGUGUACCUGGGUAGUCUGGGUAGUCGACUAAGAAUCACAAAUAGAUAUCUAGAUUAAUAGCAGAAUUGUUGCCAGACAGAGAAC
This is a non-coding RNA of Pelobates cultripes (western spadefoot toad), 683 nucleotides long. The record is from the annotation of a GenBank genome assembly. NCBI's taxonomy places the organism in Eukaryota, Metazoa, Chordata, Amphibia, Anura, Pelobatidae.